ACGAACGCUGGCGGCAUGCCUAACACAUGCAAGUCGAACGAGACCUUCGGGUCUAGUGGCGCCCGGGUGCGUAACGCGUGGGAACCUGCCCUUAGGUUCGGAAUAACUCCCCGAAAGGGGUGCUAAUACCGGAUAAUGUCUUCGGACCAAAGAUUUAUCGCCUUUGGAUGGGCCCGCGUUGGAUUAGCUAGUUGGUAGGGUAAAAGCCUACCAAGGCGACGAUCCAUAGCUGGUCUGAGAGGAUGAUCAGCCACACUGGGACUGAGACACGGCCCAGACUCCUACGGGAGGCAGCAGUGGGGAAUAUUGGACAAUGGGCGAAAGCCUGAUCCAGCAAUGCCGCGUGAGUGAUGAAGGACUUAGGGUUGUAAAGCUCUUUUACCCGGGAUGAUAAUGACAGUACCGGGAGAAUAAGCUCCGGCUAACUCCGUG
This 432-nucleotide ribosomal RNA is filed under the name uncultured bacterium. Its description in RNAcentral is "partial 16S ribosomal RNA". It matches the Rfam family "Bacterial small subunit ribosomal RNA", at positions 29 to 507 of the family's 1533-position model. The record is from RNAcentral.